AUUGAACGCUGGCGGCAGGCCUAACACAUGCAAGUCGCGCGAGCGGCGGACGGGUGAGUAAUGUAUGGGGACUGCCCGAUAGAGGGGGAUCACUACUGGAAACGGUAGCUCAUACCCCAUACUAGCGGAUCACCCAUAUGGGCUUAGCUAGUAGGUGAGGUAAUGGCUCAACUAGGCGACGAUCCCUAGCUGUUCUGAGCGGAGGAUCAGCCACACGGGAACUGAGACACGGCCCAGACGCCUACGGAGGCAGCAGUGGGGAAUAUGGCGCAAUGGGCGAAAGCCUGAUGCAGCCAUGCCGCGUGUGUGAAGAAGGCCCUAGGGUUGUAAAGUACGUUCAGUCGGGAGGCGUUACCGACAGAAGAAGCACCGGCUAACUCCGUGCCAGCAGCCGCGGUAAUAC
RNAcentral lists this ribosomal RNA (403 nucleotides) under uncultured bacterium. Its description in RNAcentral is "partial 16S ribosomal RNA". It matches the Rfam family "Bacterial small subunit ribosomal RNA", at positions 29 to 526 of the family's 1533-position model. The record is from RNAcentral.